UCACACCUUGCGGUGGCAGUCCCACUAGAGUCCCCAGCUUAACCUGAUGGCAACUAAUGGCAAGGGUUGCGCUCGUUAUGGCACUUAAGCCGACACUUCACAGCACGAGCUGACGACAACCAUGCAGCACCUCGACAGGAGUCCGAAGACUUAUCCAUCUCUGGAUAAUUCCCCUGCCGUUCGAGCCCGGGUAAGGUUCCUCGCGUAUCAUCGAAUUAAACCACAUGUUCCUCCGCUUGUGCGGGCCCCCGUCAAUUCCUUUGAGUUUCAACCUUGCGGUCGUACUCCCCAGGUGGAUGACUUAUCGCUUUCGCUUGGCCACCGACUGUGUAUCGCCGACGGUUAGUCAUCAUCGUUUACAGCGUGGACUAC
RNAcentral lists this unclassified non-coding RNA (372 nucleotides) under uncultured Rikenellaceae bacterium. RNAcentral describes it as "contains 16S-23S intergenic spacer region". Lineage: Bacteria; Pseudomonadati; Bacteroidota; Bacteroidia; Bacteroidales; Rikenellaceae. The record is from RNAcentral.